RNAcentral lists this ribosomal RNA (301 nucleotides) under uncultured bacterium. RNAcentral describes it as "partial 16S ribosomal RNA". It matches the Rfam family "Bacterial small subunit ribosomal RNA", at positions 509 to 808 of the family's 1533-position model. The record is from RNAcentral.
CAGUCGCCACGGUAAUACGUAGGUCCCGAGCGUUGUCCGGAUUUAUUGGGCGUAAAGCGAGCGCAGGCGGUUAGAUAAGUCUGAAGUUAAAGGCUGUGGCUUAACCAUAGUACGCUUUGGAAACUGUUUAACUUGAGUGCAGAAGGGGAGAGUGGAAUUCCAUGUGUAGCGGUGAAAUGCGUAGAUAUAUGGAGGAACACCGGUGGCGAAAGCGGCUCUCUGGUCUGUAACUGACGCUGAGGCUCGAAAGCGUGGGGAGCAAACAGGAUUAGAUACCCCGGUAGUCCCUGUCUCUUAUACA